AUUUAAAUAGCUUAAAAUAGAGCAUUAUAUUGAAGAUAUAAGGGUAAAUUUAAAUUUUUUAAAUA
RNAcentral lists this transfer RNA (65 nucleotides) under Aphis glycines (soybean aphid). RNAcentral describes it as "tRNA-Phe". The record is from RNAcentral. Lineage: Eukaryota; Metazoa; Arthropoda; Insecta; Hemiptera; Aphididae.